GAUGAAGAACGUAGCGAAAUGCGAUAAGUAAUGUGAAUUGCAGAAUUCAGUGAAUCAUUGAAUCUUUGAACGCACAUUGCGCCCCCUGGUAUUCCGGGGGGCAUGCCUGUCCGGGCGUCAUUACAACCCUCAAGCUCAGCUUGGUGUUGGGCCCCGCCGCCCCGGCGGGCCCUAAAGUCAGUGGCGGUGCCGUCCGGCUCCGAGCGUAGUAAUUCUUCUCGCUCUGGAGGUCCGGUCGUGUGCUCGCCAGCAACCCCCAAUUUUUUUCAGGUUGACCUCGGAUCAGGUAGGGAUACCCGCUGAACUUAAGCAUAUCAAUAAGCGGAGGA
This 329-nucleotide unclassified non-coding RNA is filed under the name soil metagenome. Its description in RNAcentral is "partial contains 5.8S ribosomal RNA, internal transcribed spacer 2, and large subunit ribosomal RNA". The stretch from base 1 to 120 matches the Rfam family "5.8S ribosomal RNA", at positions 35 to 154 of the family's 154-position model. The record is from RNAcentral.